AACAACGCACAGCAGGAGCGAGCACUUUCCAAAAUGUUCGCAGAAUGGAAAAAAAAUUUCAGCUCACCUAAUGUCACACGUACACGUCAUUGGAAAAAAACAUUCUUCUCCUGUAUUCACCCUCAUGUGUGAGGUUUUUUGGUGACGUUUCCCCCGUGAACAGCUGGGAUUUCAGGUUUCCAGUUAUUAUAGAGGCAAAUGGCAUGAGAGAACAUCAUUCCCAGAUAGCAUCUUGCGUAUAUGGUUUUUUAUUUUCCACCGGCAAGCUUGUUCUAUGAAUCUUGAACAUUUUUUGCAUGGAAAUACAGAGUUUGUAGAGCGUGUUUGUUCACAACACUGACGUCCUCCGAAAGAUCCAAGCGAUCAGUGAACCUUUUUGUAAGUUCUAAGAUUGAGAUGAGAGAAACUUAUUUUUCUGCUCCUCGAUAAUUUUUCUAAUUGUGCAAAAAUGUGAUUUAAUUCAUAUUCUACCGUUCAGUGUGUUUACUUCUGUGACAUCUCCACACAAUAAUUUCUAAUCAAUCAACACUCAACCGUUACAUCAAGAGAAAUGAUUCCAGCUUUUACAUUUAAAAUCUUCCAACGCGCGCGGAAAAGUGAAGAACGUGAUUUUUGACUUUUGAUCGGUCUAAACUGAUAUAUUUAUUUCAGAGCUGUUUACUUACGCACAAGAAUACCUUACGUAAUGUAAACUAUAAAAGUGGAUUAAAAUGAGUGUCUUUUGUAUUUCAACUAAAAAAGUAUCUACGGUGAUUUCAUUUGCCUGUAUGUGGGCUUAUAUAGAUGACCAUUGUUCUAACUGGAGCUUAGUUUUAAGUAUACAAUUUCUUCCACAUUUACGUCCGCGCUAAAGGUGGUGCCAUUGAUUUUCGUGUUUGCGUUUGAUACAUGUGGGACUUAUUUCCCGAGGGCGACCAUUUGUGCCAGUCAUGUUUCGUAAGCUGUACUGUUUUGCUCUUGUGCAAUUCCUUUUGUUUCAAGAGACAGUCUCAAGGCCUGGUUUCGCAGGAGAAAUUCGAAAUUCAGAACGAGCGAUGCAGAUUGAGAAGCGCCCACAGAAAAUUCCUAAGAUGCCGAAUAUGAGAAAAAUCUUUAUCGUAUCUGGAAUUAAAACACUCACGCCGGGUUCAGGAAGUCAGAGUCUAGUACGAAGAAGUUUUAAAACAAAAGUGAAAAUGGUCAGACAAGUUUCUAAAGAUAUUCUGAAAGUAGUGAAAAGUAUAAGAAAACACAAGGGCCGACCUCCAGUCUUGGAGACGAAACCAAAAGGCAUCGACGUAGAAUACCCAAAUAAACCAUGGCAACAGAUGUUUACGCAGAGAAAGUAUAAACCGAGAGGUGCGAUCAAAGAGAAGCUGACCAAAAUUACUAUCUGUGGUUUUCCUACGGUUCUGGAGAUUUAAAAGGUGACAAAAGCGCUGGUUUAUAUUGCUCAUUUAUCAACAAUAAGGAAUGGACUGGAGUCAGCUACGAAAAAAAUCAUUUACACCGAAAUUACUUAUACUUUAGCUUUUACAGAAAAAACGUGAAUGUUUCUUUCGAUUCCCCCCUGCAUGUAAUAUAAUACAUCUGAAUACAAUUAUAAAUUGUUUUUCAAUGGUUUUUUUCUUUCUGUCUCUUUGUUUCUCAUUUUUACUUUUUUUUUUUUUUUUUUUUUUUUUUUUGGAUGAAAGAGUCAUGUUUAUUCUUUCGUCGACCUGGACAUAUCACGUGAUCGAGAUAGGGCCUGCUUCUCAACCAAUCAGCUUGCGUGUUUUUGGAUUCCAAUCGCGUUUUCUCUAUUGAAUGAAAUACGUAAUUUUUCGCUCUUUUAUACACAUCAUUUUUAUUUUCUUACUGCUCUAAGUAUGUGUGUGAAAAGUCUCUACAAAAUUUGAUGUAUAGGAGUUGUUUAAAUGACCUCUGGUGCUUAAAUAAAUACAUUUAUUUGAACAUCUUUCAGUAUUUUAGAAAUGAUAGCUCAUGCACUAUGCAGUAACUCGUAUUUCUUUGAAAGCUCUUGUUUGGUUUCCUCAAAACUCGAUUCAAAGGUUGUCAUUUGCCAUCGUUACACUGUGAGUCUGGUCCUUUUAUUUUUACGCGGCUUGAUACAACGAGAAAUCUGUCGUGGUGGUCUGGCUGGAGAAAGUGACCAUAGACAAUACACGCGUCGAGGGAUGCUUUUGGCGCCAAACUGUCGCGACGAAAAGUUGAUAGUUGAGGUGUUGCCUAGCAACUCAGGCUCCGUCCCUGCGAAAGUUUCGCGCUAACUGGAGGGUGCCUCAUCGGAUUUUUUGCGCGGCGAUUAAACAUGGUCGGAGGAGACUGCUUGAGAAAUUAAAAACAGAAAAUACGAAUCAAAAAUUAUGAGAGUUUAGUAAUGCAAAAGGUAUAUAGCUCCUUGACAUAUUAUUCCAUGUAUAAGCAACAAAAUGCAACAUACGAAGAAUACGAACUUGUGCAA
RNAcentral lists this long non-coding RNA (2443 nucleotides) under Bemisia tabaci. RNAcentral describes it as "lncRNA ENSSSA1UGG003641". Lineage: Eukaryota; Metazoa; Arthropoda; Insecta; Hemiptera; Aleyrodidae. The record is from RNAcentral.